AACGAACGCUGGCGGCAUGCCUAACACAUGCAAGUCGAACGAGACUUUCGGGUUUAGUGGCGCACGGGUGCGUAACGCGUGGGAACCUGCCCUUAGGUACGGAAUAACUCCCCGAAAGGGGAGUUAAUACCGGAUACUUUCUUCGGACCAAAGAUUUAUCGCCUUUGGAUGGGCCCGCGUUGGAUUAGCUAGUUGGUAGGGUAAAAGCCUACCAAGGCGACGAUCCAUAGCUGGUCUGAGAGGAUGAUCAGCCACACUGGGACUGAGACACGGCCCAGACUCCUACGGGAGGCAGCAGUGGGGAAUAUUGGACAAGGGGCGAAAGCCUGAUCCAGCAAUGCCGCGUGAGUGAUGAAGGCCUUAGGGUUGUAAAGCUCUUUUACCCGGGAUGAUAAUGACAGUACCGAGAGAAUAAGCUCCGGCUAACUCCGUG
RNAcentral lists this ribosomal RNA (433 nucleotides) under uncultured bacterium. RNAcentral's name for it is "partial 16S ribosomal RNA". It matches the Rfam family "Bacterial small subunit ribosomal RNA", at positions 29 to 507 of the family's 1533-position model. The record is from RNAcentral.